This is an RNA transcript of Dermacentor andersoni, 1704 nucleotides long. RefSeq lists it as uncharacterized. Lineage: Eukaryota; Metazoa; Arthropoda; Arachnida; Ixodida; Ixodidae. The record is from RefSeq and is a predicted model, not a curated record.
CCUGGGCAGUGCAAGAGCCCCAUUCUGCAAUAUUCUGCAACAUUCGUUUUCCCGCGUUUGUUGGAGCGGGCUUUUAAAUAUGUUACGCAAAGAGUAGCGAGUGCAACCAAUGUUCGUACUUCAAAACAAGUGCAAGAGUUGGGUGCGGGUGGCUGCCGACACUUAUUUCAAGCAGCUUGCUGAACUCUCAUGCCCAUCAACGCAGUAAAGCUGCUCAGUUUUGAUAGACAUGUCAUCACAACGCUUUCUACACUCAACUACCAGCGUUGCAGGCAGCAGCUCAAGCUCGUCGCGGUCGCGCCCAGGCAGCGGCCAAUGGCGAAUUCUUAGAAAGUGGGCGAUGUCAAGAUCGUCCUCGGAGGCGUCUCUCAGUUCGACUAUAUUGAAAGAUAGUGAUAAUGAAUAUUUGGGUAACGAGUCGCAGGCGCUUCAGCAACGUUCACUAACAAGGAGCCCCCGGAGUCCAUUGAGUGGCAACACAAAAUCCAGAUUACCACAUGAAAACACGAAAAGGAAGCUAGCAAUCAGUGGAGCUGGCUCGCCUCCAGGAAUGUCACCAAGAAAAGUGUCCAGGCCUGAGCUUGAGAAAGUAGCAAGCUCCAGGGCACCUUCACAUUCGACUUCAGUAGCCACUCCAGUAGUUGCAACACCUCGCAGGUCAUUCUGGAGUAUUUCUCAUCGUGAAGAGGCUCCUUCUGAUUCGUUGGCGCGAAAUGCUCAAAAUGGUAGAAAAAGUGCACCUGAAGAAAAGUCAGCUGAUGGGUUCAGCAGAGUGAGGCAGGGACAAGCUAAUACAAGUUCGCAGCUUUCUACUAGAAGUCAACAGGGUCUUGCAUCUGGUUCCUCUCGUCAUCAAAAUGCCACUUCAGGACGUGAGAGAACACUGGCCUCAACUUCAAGUGGCAGGAUGACAUUAAAAGAAAAGUCCGCUGUCAAAUUCAGCACAAAAAGGCAAGGACAUAAAUCUUCCACUUUGCGGUCACCAAGUAAAUGCAAGCAGAACACCAUGCAUUUAGACCCGCUGUGCUUGCUUAUAGUGGCUAUGUUGGGAUGCUAAGCACGAGGUUGCGGGAUCGAAUCCUGGCCACGGCGGCUGCAUUUCGAUGGGGGUGAGGUUGCACCAAAAAAAGCUGUGAGAAAGCCAGGAUAUAAAAUCUUGGGAGAGAUUGACCGUCAUCGGUCAUCUACAGUGACACUCAUCCCCCGCCUUCCAUUUGCUCGUGUUGUGCGCGAGAUUCUUUUUCGCAUAACUGGUGAUGAUUUUAAGAUGCAGAAACUGGCCCUGAAAGCACUCCAUGAGGCCAGUGAAGCAGUCAUUGUGGCACUCUUGGAAGGUUCUAAUGUUCUCGCUCAUCAUGCUCACCGUGUCACAAUUAUGAGCAGGGAUUUAGAUAAAUUGCUUACCUUGAUAAAAAGCUAUGGCAACAUGCACGGCUGCCUCUCCUAAAGGCAUUAAGUCUUUUCAUGAUGGUUUUAAUGCGAAAUAGUCAUGCACUAAAAUGAACAACUUGCCAGAUCUGUGUGGUCUGCGUGGAAACAAUGAAAAUAGUGAGAAAUAUUAAUGGCUUUUAUUCUGCUUAUUUCACAAUCACUUUUGACUUAUCCAGUUACAUUGGAGUGCAAUUUUUUUAAGACUCAUGCUUGUGUUUUAUUGUAUACUAUUCGACGUGUCAGAUAGUACAAAUAAAGUGGUUUAGAAGCUUC